GAGGAAUGUGAAACCAAUUUAUAUUGUGCUAGAAGCGUAUGUCAGUGUGCUUCUUCCGAUUACUGGACAGGAUCAACGUGUUCCAUAAAAAAAGAAGAGAAUGCCCUCUGUAAUUCAUCACUUGAAUGUAAAGCAACGCUCCAGUGCAGAACAAAUCACUGUGUUUGCUGUCAACAGGACUUCUGGAAUGGACAGCUGUGUGAGAG
Mytilus californianus (California mussel) is the source of this 206-nucleotide long non-coding RNA. RefSeq lists it as uncharacterized. The transcript is spliced from 2 exons. The record is from RefSeq and is a predicted model, not a curated record. Lineage: Eukaryota; Metazoa; Mollusca; Bivalvia; Mytilida; Mytilidae.